CCUACGGGAGGCGGCAGUGGGGAAUAUUGCACAAUGGGGGAAACCCUGAUGCAGCGACGCCGCGUGGAGGAAGAAGGUCUUCGGAUUGUAAACUCCUGUUGUUGAGGAAGAUAAUGACGGUACUCAACAAGGAAGUGACGGCUAACUACGUGC
This 153-nucleotide ribosomal RNA is filed under the name uncultured bacterium. RNAcentral's name for it is "partial 16S ribosomal RNA". It matches the Rfam family "Bacterial small subunit ribosomal RNA", at positions 338 to 508 of the family's 1533-position model. The record is from RNAcentral.